AGUGAACGCUGGCGGUAGGCCUAACACAUGCAAGUCGAACGGCAGCACAGUAAGAGCUUGCUCUUACGGGUGGCGAGUGGCGGACGGGUGAGGAAUACAUCGGAAUCUACUAUUUCGUGGGGGAUAACGUAGGGAAACUUACGCUAAUACCGCAUACGACCUACGGGUGAAAGCAGGGGAUCUUCGGACCUUGCGCGAUUGAAUGAGCCGAUGUCGGAUUAGCUAGUUGGCGGGGUAAAGGCCCACCAAGGCGACGAUCCGUAGCUGGUCUGAGAGGAUGAACAGCCACACUGGAAAAGGGACAAGGUCCAGACUCCUACGGGAGGGAGCAGUGGGGAAUAUUGGACAAUGGGCGCAAGCCUGAUCCAGCCAUACCGCGUGGGUGAAGAAGGCCUUCGGGCUGUAAAGCCCUUUUGUUGGGAAAGAAAAGCAGCAGGUUAAUACCCCGCUGUUCUGACGGUACCCAAAGAAUAAGCACCGGCUAACUUCGUG
This 492-nucleotide ribosomal RNA is filed under the name uncultured bacterium. RNAcentral's name for it is "partial 16S ribosomal RNA". It matches the Rfam family "Bacterial small subunit ribosomal RNA", at positions 29 to 507 of the family's 1533-position model. The record is from RNAcentral.